Monodelphis domestica (gray short-tailed opossum) is the source of this 797-nucleotide long non-coding RNA. Lineage: Eukaryota; Metazoa; Chordata; Mammalia; Didelphimorphia; Didelphidae. The record is from Ensembl.
UAAGACGAAAAGGCUGCUGGGAAGGUUACCUCCACCCCUCUCCCUAUGAGAAGGAAAAUCUUGGAGAAACGGGGAGAGGCGGGGAAUCCCACGUGUUGUGGAAAGUUGGACUGAAUAAAAGGACAGAGCUGACCGAGCAGAAAAGGUGGAAUCCCACUCUCUGGCUAACCUGCCACCCUGUUGCCAGCCGGAAUGCUGAAGAAACCCCCUCCCCCAAGUGCCUGAAUUUCCCCCAUUAGAUAUUGAAUCACAGAACUUCGGAAUUGGAAGGGACCUCACAUUCCAUAGUCAAUAAAUUAGCCAGCAGUUAUUAGCGAUCCGCUGUAUGUUUGCUCGGUGAUGGACCAACUCCUAUCGGAAUGAGAAGACCUCAACAAAGGCUCUGACAAGUGUUUAUCCAGUCUUCGAAAACUUCUAGUGAGGGGGAAUUUACUUCUGGAGGCAACCCAUUUUUAGCCAAAGGAAAAACACCAAAUGAAAAAAAAAAUCCUAUUGUCAAUAACGAUGAAAAAAAAUGCCCCAAAGCAUCACUGAUAAGUGGAAGUCAACUUCACCGGGCAAAUUUUCAAAGUUGACAAAAGUUGGAAAUAGCAUCAAAGAUUUAUCAGCCGGCAUAGAUGGUUUAAAGAACGAACUUGCCCCCAAAGAAGGGAUAUAUAAAGAUACCUCUUCCACUGGGGAGAUGGGAUUAUUCACAGGGAAUGGCUCUCUGAAAGAGAGAAGGAAGGAAUAGAGAGGUAAAUCUGGGCAAUGUAAAAACAAAACUUAUCAAUAAAAAUACAUUUAAAAAGAAGGCA